Molecule: long non-coding RNA, 3769 nt
Filed under: Olea europaea (common olive)
Lineage: Eukaryota; Viridiplantae; Streptophyta; Magnoliopsida; Lamiales; Oleaceae
Description: long non-coding RNA (OEUR_LNC001647)
Source: RNAcentral
AGAAGGUCUAAAAGCUCUAAAGAAAAUCCGGGGAGUAGAAGAUGUCCAAAAGGAGUAUGACGAGAUUCUACAAGCGACUGAAGUCGCUAAAAAGAUCGAUCACCCUUUUAGAAACCUAAUGAAACGGUCGAGUAGGCCUCAACUUAUCUGUGGUACUAUUUUACAAGUUUUUCAGCAGUUCACCGGAAUCAAUGUGAUCAUGUUUUACGCCCCGGUUUUGUUCCAAACCAUGGGGUUGGGAGGAGAUGCAUCUCUAUUGUCAUCUGUAGUGACUGGUUCAAUCAAUUCAGCAUCCACAUUGGUUGCAAUUUUUGGUGUGGAUAUAUUUGGAAGAAGGGCUUUACUUAUUGAAGCAGCCAUUCAAAUGCUUAUUUCUCAGGUUUGUGACAUGUUAAGUAAUUAGGGCUCUAUUGGAGUUGAUUUUAUUUUUCCUUUCUGUAGAAGAAUUUUUUAGAGGAAAUUACCUUAAUAUUUGUUUGAAAACUAAUUUUCAAAAGAGUUUUCUAUUUCAAAAGUACUUUAAAAGGAAACCACGUUGGAUUAGCUUUCUUUAAAAAUUUUUCUAACUAAAACAAGUACUUUUAUAAAAUUAGCCGUCCAAAAACUCCUUAUGUAUCUCAAAAGCUCUUUUUGACUUUUCUAGAGUCAUGCUAGACAGACUCUUAAUACAGUUUGUUUUCUUUAAGGAUGCUAUAAUACAUUGUUGUUUUUUUGCAGGUUAUUACAGGAGUAAUGCUUGAAGAGCAUCUCAAAGCAACAAACUCUAUAUCAAAAGUUUAUGCAUACAUAGUGGUGGUGUUGAUCUGCGUUUUCGUGUCUGGUUUCGCAUGGUCUUGGGGUCCUUUGGGCUGGUUAAUUCCAAGUGAAAUAUUCCCACUCGAGACGAGAACUGCUGGAUUUUUCUUUGCUGUUAGCGUGAACAUGAUUUUCACCUUCUUGAUUGCUCAAGCUUUUCUCACAAUGCUGUGCCAUAUGAAAUCCGGGAUCUUCUUUUUCUUUGCUGCAUGGAUUGUUAUAAUGGGAUGUUGGGCUGUGUUCUUUCUGCCAGAAACUAAGGGAAUCCCCAUUGAUGAAAUGAAUGAGAGAGCUUGGAAAAAACACUGGUUUUGGAAGAAAUAUUUCAAUUCUGAUGAUGAAGCUAUUAAGCCUGUGGGAGAUAAAGCAUCUACUGAAGGGAAGGCUUGAUCUAUAUAUGCAUGUUCUCAAGAGUCAGUCUUGUUAAUUUUUUAGUUUUUUAUUUUUUUCAUGACUGUCUUAUUAAUUAAUUCGAAUCACUCUUUACAAUUUAUUAUCUGAAUUUCUACUUCAAAAUUGUUAUAAAUUGUUAAAUUGGAAGUUGGUUUUCGAAGGCAUGCAGAUUUUUACCCCUUCUAUAUCGCUCAAGUAGUUAAAUUGGACGUCAGUUAGUUGGACUUAAUGUUAAUCUUGUUGUGGGAAUAUAUUGACGAGAAGUAUUCAAUUCAACCUGAGGACAAAACCGAUCUCACUAUAUCCUGGAUUUUUGGGUUCGUGAUCACUAAGGAGUCUCGCUUCUUUCGAAUAUCUUCAUGGAUAUGAUUAAAAGCAUUUCUUGCUAAACUUUGACCGAAAUUAGGACCUUCCCUUUCCUUUGACCAAUGGUUCCUCCAACCAAUUUGUCCGUCCUUUCUAUUUCUCGAUAAGUGGUCACGCUCUUUUGGGUACAUACGUAUAAUCUUAGUCUUUGUUUGAUUCUUUGGAAUGAUUUUCGGGAUAAAAUAUCAGAAUAUUGUCCAAGAAUAUAGAAAAUCAAUCGGACAACCGAAAGUUUGAGGUCCUCGUUUUAAUUUAUGUGGUUAAUAUUAUGAUAAAAAUCAGAAUAAAGUGGCAUACGGUGCUUUCGGGUGCAACAUGCACAUAUGGUGUUCUUUUUCUAUAAAGAAAUUGCCUAGUCUUGUCAUUUCCAAGUGAAAAGCUACCUAUGUUCAUAUUGCCUCCUUGAACGUACGUACGUACGUACUUUUUUUUUUUCUUUUUUUUUUCUGGGACGAGGGAUUCCCAGUAAGUGCGAACGGUAUAUAACAUGUUAUCUAUUUUCAGGAGGAGUUACAUCCAUGGAUGAUUUCUUGUUGAAGUUCUUUCCAGUUGUGUACACGAAGAAGCACAGAGCAAAAGAGAAUAACUACUGCAAAUAUGACAAUCAACUUCUUCAAUUAUUCACUUCAAGUUUGUACCUUGCGGCUGUGGUUUGCUGUUUCUUUGCAUCAAAAUGUUGCAAGAAGUUUGGAAGAAAACCUACCAUGCAAUUGGCAGCCUUUUUCUUCUUUAUCGGUGUUAUUCUCGAUGCCGCGGCAAUGAAUCUUCCGAUGCUCAUUGUUGGACGGCUUUGUUUGGGUGCAGGUGUUGGAUUUGGAAACCAGGUAUUGAUUAACUGUGAUAUAAAUCAUAUAAUAUAUAUGUAUCUAUAUGUCAUGUCUUUUUCAAGUGAUCUGAAACUUUUUUCCACAACAUCUGGAUGUAUUUUAUGGCUGCAUUAGGAUUUUUUUUUUUUUUUAAUUAGUCGUCAACAAGGUUAAAAUAUAAAAUCUUAAAAUACACUAAGGCCCCGUUUGAUUGCACGAAAUUUUCCAUGGAACUUGGAAUUCGAAUUCCAACUUCCACUUUUGGCCUGUUUGUGAAACUUUUUUCCACAACAUCUGGAUGUAUUUUAUGGCUGCAUUCGGAUUUUUUUUUUUUUAAUCUGUUUUUCUGAUUCCUGUAUACUAUGUGGAUAUCAUUAGGAUUUUGAGAAAGUUAUUUUAUGUAUUUUUUUUAAAGAUACUCACAUUAUAUUAGCAUUUAAUUUCAUUGAAGUUAUUCAAUAGAAAUAACUAUUACAGUCAAUUAUUUGUCAAGAUGAUCGAUACAUUUACCAUCUUGUCCAAAAUUUUAGACGAGAUGAUUAAGCCCUCAUUGAAUUAAAUUUCAUUUUUAUCUCUCUUAUUUUCAAUCACACAAUUUUCUAUAAAAUAAUAUUGCAUGUAAAUCGAAAACUUUUCCUUCUUUUUCAAUCAUUCAUUUUUCAAAAAAAUAUUAUUCCACCCAUUAUAAUUUGAAAUAAUGGGGGCAAAACGGGGCUAAGAUUUAUUCAUUCCAUAUCAUGUUCUUUCAAGUUUUUCCUAAGUUUGUUGUUCUUUUACGUAUACUUUUGUAUGUCGAAGGAUGGGUAUUGCCCGAGUGACGGAAUGGCAACUACCCUGCAACAUUUUGAAUUUUUUUUUUUUAAACUAAGUAGAAAUUUUGAAAUUUUUGGUUAAUAUGUACAUAAUAUGUGUAUUUUUUUUGUCCCUUCAACAAACUGAAUUUCAGGCAGUGCCACUUUUCAUAUCAGAAAUUGCUCCACCAAAGUACAGGGGAGGCCUUAACAUUUGUUUUCAGAUGUUGAUCACAUUGGGAAUUUUGUGUGCCAACAUUGUGAACUAUUUUACUUCCAAAUUGCAUCCUUAUGGUUGGAGAAUCUCUCUUGGUGGUGCUGCAGUACCAGCAAUUAUCCUCGGCUUGGGCUCUCUUAUCAUAGUCGAGACACCUACAAGCCUAAUCGAACGUGGUAAAAAACAAGAAGGUCUAAAAGCUCUAAAGAAAAUCCGGGGAGUAGAAGAUGUCCAAAAGGAGUAUGACGAGAUUCUACAAGCGACUGAAGUCGCUAAAAAGAUCGAUCACCCUUUUAGAAACCUAAUGAAACGGUCGAGUAGGCCUCAACUUAUCUGUGGUACUAUUUUACAAGUUUUUCAGCAGUUCACCGGAAUCAAUGUGAUCAUGUUUUACGCCCCGG